GCGGAGGAAAAGAAACCAACAGGGAUUGCCUCAGUAACGGCGAGUGAAGCGGCAACAGCUCAAAUUUGAAAUCUGGCUCCUUCGGGGCCCGAGUUGUAAUUUGCAGAGGAUGCUUCGGGUACGGGUUCCUUCCGAGUUCCCUGGAACGGGACGCCAUAGAGGGUGAGAGCCCCGUCUGGUAGGACACCCAGCCCGUGUGAAGCUCCCUCGACGAGUCGAGUAGUUUGGGAAUGCUGCUCUAACGGGAGGUAUACUCCUUCCAAGGCUAAAUACCGGCUGGAGACCGAUAGCGCACAAGUAGAGUGAUCGAAAGAUGAAAAGCACUUUGAAAAGAGAGUCAAAUAGCACGUGAAAUUGUUGAAAGGGAAGCGCUCGCUACCAGACAUGGGUUCGGCGGUUCAACCGGGGCCACGCCCCGGGGCACUCCGCCGGCCCAGGCCAGCAUCAGCUUUCCGUCGGGGGCAAAGACGUCGGGAAUGUGGCUCCCCUCCGGGGGAGUGUUAUAGCCCGGCGUGUCAUACCCUUCGGGGGGCUGAGGUACGCGCUUCUGCAAGGAUGCUGGCGUAAUGGUAGCUAGUGACCCGUCUUGAAACACGGACCAAGGAGUCAACCUUAUGUGCGAGUGCCCGGGCGUAAAACCCCAGCGCGGAAUGAAAGUGAACGUAGGUGAGAGCUUCGGCGCAUCACCGACCGAUCCUGAUGUCCUCGGACGGAUUUGAGUGAGAGCAUAUAGGGUUGGACCCGAAAGAAGAUGAACUAUGCGUGUGUAGGGUGAAGCCAGAGGAAACUCUGGUGGAGGCUCGCAGCGGUUCUGACGUGCAAAUCG
This 826-nucleotide unclassified non-coding RNA is filed under the name Gibellulopsis nigrescens. RNAcentral's name for it is "sequence contains 28S rRNA gene". It matches the Rfam family "Eukaryotic large subunit ribosomal RNA", at positions 50 to 900 of the family's 3401-position model. Lineage: Eukaryota; Fungi; Ascomycota; Sordariomycetes; Glomerellales; Plectosphaerellaceae. The record is from RNAcentral.